UGGGGAAUUUUGGACAAUGGGCGAAAGCCUGAUCCAGCAAUGCCGCGUGUGUGAAGAAGGCCUUCGGGUUGUAAAGCACUUUUGUCCGGAAAGAAAUCCUUGGCUCUAAUACAGUCGGGGGAUGACGGUACCGGAAGAAUAAGCACCGGCUAACUACGUGCCAGCAGCCGCGGUAAUACGUAGGGUGCAAGCGUUAAUCGGAAUUACUGGGCGUAAAGCGUGCGCAGGCGGUUUGCUAAGACCGAUGUGAAAUCCCCGGGCUCAACCUGGGAACUGCAUUGGUGACUGGCAGGCUAGAGUAUGGCAGAGGGGGGUAGAAUUCCACGUGUAGCAGUGAAAUGCGUAGAGAUGUGGAGGAAUACCGAUGGCGAAGGCAGCCCCCUGGGCCAAUACUGACGCUCAUGCACGGAAGCGUGGGGAGCAAACAGGAUUAGAUACCCUGGUAGUCCACGCCCUAAACGAUGUCAACUAGUUGUUGGGGAUUCAUUUCCUUAGUAACGUAGCUAACGCGUGAAGUUGACCGCCUGGGGAGUACGGUCGCAAGAUUAAAACUCAAAGGAAUUGAC
Molecule: ribosomal RNA, 566 nt
Filed under: uncultured bacterium
Lineage: Bacteria
Description: partial 16S ribosomal RNA
Rfam family: Bacterial small subunit ribosomal RNA
Source: RNAcentral